This is a long non-coding RNA of Ctenopharyngodon idella (grass carp), 2753 nucleotides long. RefSeq lists it as uncharacterized. NCBI's taxonomy places the organism in Eukaryota, Metazoa, Chordata, Actinopteri, Cypriniformes, Xenocyprididae. The record is from RefSeq and is a predicted model, not a curated record. The transcript has 4 exons.
AAACUAAGGAAGGCUAGGUCUCAGCAAUCACUAUCCAACAUUACGCAUGUUUUACGGUCUUUGUGAUAAUCUUUCAUAAUAUGACAGCUAAAUUUGAGCUUCAAGCUUGUACUUUUUUUUGUACAGGUGUGAUUAGAAAUGCGGAACGAAAGAGCACUUCUUAUUUGAGCCGUGGCGCACGGACCGUUUAUCAGCUCGGCCUACGAAGCGCAAGCUCGGUCCUCGAUUCUCGGUCAUGCGGCACCACAACAGAGCUGUUUGAAUUAUUAUUCAAUCGUUCCCAAAAGCUUCUACGCAAAAAAAAAAGAAAAAAAAAAAAAAAAAAAAAAAGGGAGAAACGUUGUGCAACCAAUGAACGAUUAGUUUAUGAGUAGUUAACGACAGUUACAAUGUGUUUUUAUCUAUAAAUAACCUAGAUUUACUGUUUAUUAGGUUUACCGUAGUAACACUAACUGCAAAUCUGGUAUUUGCAGAAAUGUGGUAUAUUCAUAAUGCAUGUCUUUAUACUGUUGUUUCUUAUGAAGCUAUGUCAGUUUUUGCAUUUUUGUUGUACUAAAUGUGUUUAUACUUGUGAUUUAGACAAAUGGAAUAAUCUGUGAAGCAAAGACUACAACAACCUGCUAUUUAAUGGAAACAUUUGAAGAGCAAGGAGUGGAUGAAAGUUUUAUGCUGCUGGAUGACAGUGGUUCUCAACUGUGGUCCUAGAGUAUCCCCAGCAAUACACAUUUUGGAUGACUUCCUUAUCUGACACCCUUUUCCGGCCUUGGAGUCUCUCGACUAACAAGCUGAUGGUCAUGGAGAAACUGCCUUCAAAACCCUUCCCGCUGUCCUGCCAUCAUCGCCAUGCCUCACAAAUGGGAAAAUGGUGCUGAAAUGAAGCACAGCUUAACUGACAUUCAGCCUGUUGGCGCAUUACCUGAGCAGUGAGACAAGCCGGGAUCCACAUGACUUGAUGCCUUGAGGACAAAGAGAACUCCCAAGUUUUUUUUUUUUUUUUUUUUUUUUUAAAAUAACAUUAUUUUUUCAUUGUGGCAUUGAACAGAAGAUCUUAUUUUAAGCUAUGCAUGUAUAUUUCAAUUUUUAUUUUUAUUUAUUUUUUUAACAUAUGAAAUACUGUUCAAAGCCUUCUGCUCCCAUUUAGGAGGUUUUGUAGCAUGCAAACUUUAAUAUACAGUAGUAGUACAUUUGAAGUGGAUCAAAAAAGUUAAUCAAAGUUGUCCUAAAAACUAAGUUGUCCUAAGAAAAUGGUUUUAGGGACAACUUUGAUGAAAGGUUUUGAUCCACUUCAAAUGUUGACUAGUGUAUUAAGAGGGGUUCCCUUAACACACUUUGCUGCCUCCUUAAGAACUUUGAUCAUCAUCAUUAGGUCCAACAUAUUUGUGGUUUUAUUACUUAAGGUAUGUUUACAGCACAUCAAUGCAUACAAUCUACAGUGUUGACUUUUCAUUAAAGAUAUGUUUAUUUAUUGAAGAAUUUAAUGUUAUGAAUUUAUGUGUACUCGUAGUUUUUCAUUUAGUGUUCAUUUUGUAUUUGUGUGUUCUGUAUGUACAUUUUAUGUGUUUUGAGUUUACUCUACAUGGUUGUGAAGGUUUUAAAUAUAGGUUUUAAUUGUGUACUGUUUGUACAAAUUUAUAGGUUUGAAUUUAAUAUUUGUACUGUACACUUUUGAGUAGGUUUAAAUGUAGUGUUCAUUUUGAAUUUUUGUGUGUUCUGUAUACAUAUUUUAUUUAUGUUUGAGUUUACUCUGUACAUGUUUGUGUAGGUUUUGAAUGUGUACUGUUUGUACAAAUUUGUUUUGAAUUGAUGUACGUACAUUUAUGAUAUUUACAUUAAAUGACUCCACAAUAUUUCAUUUGUAAUUUAAAAUAUAUUUGUUAAAACAUGUUAUUUUAUACAAAUAAACAAUCUAGAAAACAAAGUAUGUUUUAUAUAUUAUAAUAAUGUCAUGAAUAAAAGUAAAUAGUUAACCCAACUGUUGGGUUAUUUUUAACCCAAUUGGCUUUUAACCCAACCAUUGGGUUAAAAAUAACCCACAGUUGGGAAGGUGCUAUGUUAACCCAUAGUUGGGUUACUUGUUGGGUUAUUUUUAACCCAACAUUUUUUUAGUGAAAUAUAUAUAUAUAUAUAUAUAUAUAUAUAUAUAUAUAUAUAUAAAAAAAUACACACAUACAUACAUACAUACAUACAUAGGAGGUGGAAGAAGAAGAGGAGAGGGUAGAUAUAAAUCGCACUUUUGCAGCUGGGGGAUCGAUUAGAAACGCAGCGGUGUUUACAAUCGAUCACCCAUCUCACUCUCGCUUCUUCCUCCUCCUGUCUGUCUGGGCUCAGAUACAAAUCUGAACGGCUAGGGGUUUUUCCAUGCCCUCCCGAUCUCAAACGUGGAGAUCCGGAAGGAAUGAAAAACUUAUGGGAGCUGCAGCGUUUAUGGACAGAAAGGAACCGCUCGUCGAGCCGUCCGCGUGCGGUCCCUUUCUUAACGCGCCCUCAUGGCAGCCGCAGCCUGCCAGAAGCGCGUCCCAAAAACAUCAGCAGCGCCCUCAAGCACUGUCUAUGCACGCUCCUCUCCCAGACAGAAAACGCCCAGAAAUGUGUAUAUCAAGUGUCAAAACCUGGGACACGGAUGAACACACUCUCUUGAACGUUUGUAAGGCAUAUUAGAGAAUUCCUUACCGGAGUCGAUACAAUUGUGAUCAGACAGAACAGUCCCGAAAGACGAGAAGAUACUGACUGAUUCUCUAGGCACUCCUUAUAUA